Molecule: transfer RNA, 695 nt
Filed under: Bradyrhizobium sp.
Lineage: Bacteria; Pseudomonadati; Pseudomonadota; Alphaproteobacteria; Hyphomicrobiales; Nitrobacteraceae
Description: partial contains 16S-23S ribosomal RNA intergenic spacer and 23S ribosomal RNA
Rfam family: tRNA (bases 111-184)
Source: RNAcentral
GAGCUGCAUUGGCGGGAUUUCGCCGUCUUCGUUUCUCUUUCUUCGCGGACGAACACGCGCUGGGGCUGCGAGCAUGCAGAAUCCCUGGUCCUUAACAGGAUAAGCGUUAGGGGCUUGUAGCUCAGUUGGUUAGAGCGCGCGCUUGAUAAGCGUGAGGUCGGAAGUUCAAGUCUUCCCAGGCCCACCACUUUCAUCGAGUGAGCAUUCGUCUUCUGGUUACGGGGCCAUAGCUCAGCUGGGAGAGCGCGUGCUUUGCAAGCAUGAGGUCGUCGGUUCGAUCCCGUCUGGCUCCACCAGAUGGUUUGAUCACCGAGAUCUUGUACCGUCGUCCGCGAAACAUCACUUCGCAUCCUGCUAGUCUGGAUAGACAGCAAGAUGCGUGUUUUCUGACAUCGUAAAGAGGAGAUCGAUCCGAGUUGGGUCGUGUAGCAGAUUGCUGCGCGAGCCUUCAUUAUCUCCGGAUCAUUUUCGGCGCUCGGCGCUGACCGCAAGGUUGGCUCUUGAGUUGUAAAAUGAUCCUUUUAGCGAAGCUUGACCGCCUCGCUAUCGGAACGAUCUUACGAAGCAAGCUGGUCUUUCUAGUCAAUGUCCGGCUGCAGAUAGCGUUCAUCGAGGGCGCGUGCCGCAAGGCAAUUCUGCAGACAACAUUCUGCCGAGUGUGUGGACAUUGAUAAUGAGAGCAAUCAAGUGCCUUA